This is a non-coding RNA of Paramuricea clavata, 318 nucleotides long. The record is from the annotation of a GenBank genome assembly. NCBI's taxonomy places the organism in Eukaryota, Metazoa, Cnidaria, Anthozoa, Malacalcyonacea, Plexauridae.
CAGCUCUUUCAAUUGAGAUUUAAGGUUUUCCCCGAGCUAAGCGGAAAAGUCGAAUACGAGCGCGAAAGGCUAAUAACACAGUACUAAAAUGCGGAAGGCCCUACAAGUAAAGUUAUAUUUAGUACGCUACAUUCUUCUUCAAAACUGUCAGCCGCUAGUUGGUCUAGGAUUAAACCGCGCUUUAAAACGUUCAAAACAAAAUAUUUUUGGGCUCAAAAUACUAUCAAAAUGAAGCGAGGAGUGAGACGAAUCCACUGGUAUACGGCCGAAAAAGAGAAAACCAAUGAUGCCAAAGUUAUCAAGGGUCAAACGUACUGC